RNAcentral lists this long non-coding RNA (567 nucleotides) under Pogona vitticeps (central bearded dragon). RNAcentral's name for it is "lncRNA (ENSPVIG00000019491.1)". The record is from RNAcentral. Lineage: Eukaryota; Metazoa; Chordata; Lepidosauria; Squamata; Agamidae.
CUGUAAUCAGUAAGCUAAUCACCCAAAGAAUUAAGAGUUUCUAGGCUCCUAACUUAGUUUUAUUUAUUUUGUAGCCAAAUACAAGAAGUUGGAACACUUACUAUGUUAAACUUGGGAGAAAAAAGCUAGACUUCUACAGUGAUGAAAAAGAAGCAUCCCAGAAUGGAACUCCAGUCUUAUCAGCCAGCAUAGCUGGAGCCAGGUGUGACAGGUUGAUGGAGUAUUCUAGGAAAGAACAUGCCUUCAGCUUAAGACUCUGGGAUGGAUCACAGUAUUACCUUGCAGCACCCUCUCAAAAGCUAAUGGAGGACUGGAUGCAAGCAUUAUAUAGUCACUUGGGUAAGUCUGCAUGACUCAGAUUUUGGAACAUUUCCCCUCAUUUCUACCCUAUGUGUCCUUGCAAGAUGCCAACAAAGUGCUUAUGGAUUAGUUCAAUAACUCAGCAAACUCAAACAAAAGGAAAAAUCAGUGCACAAAAUUGUCUCUGAUAGUGCCAUUGUCUGGAGUUCAGAAACAAAUCCUUCGUAAUCCUAUUUUUCUCUUCUCCUUACAAAGUUUUAAAUAUGG